GCAUUCGAAUUAAAUUACAUUGAAAUUCAUGAAAAUAAGAAGAUCCUACUAUACUCCUAGUUCAAUUUUGAGUAUAUACCUAGUUACUUUCUAGAGCUGAAUGAAGAAGAGUAUUUAGAUGGGUUGUUUCUGUUCUGAGAAAGGGCCCUUAAGAGUGUGGUCGUUAGUGUUUAGAUGGCUUGGUAUUGGUUUUAUUACUCCAUCAAACUUUUUUCUACAUUUGGAAUGUUUUAUAGAGGAGGCUCAGUUGUAGAAGCUUAGAAGGAGUUAUUGGUUAAUUCGGCACUGGUUUGGGUUCUUCGGAAGGCAUGAAACGAUCAUAUAUUCAGGAAUAGGUUGUGUGUACUAGACAGAUACCUUAGUUGUUGCCGGGGGGUUGUCGUAGCUGCUUUUGUUUUUUAACUCAGUUUGUCAGUAUUUAGCUCUUCUGUGGUGUAUAUUCAGAGCAGGUGAAGGUUUUUUCUGUGUUCUGUUUUCAUGUGGCAGCGACUGUUUGUGCUAGUGCAGAUGGGUGCUUUUUGUUUUCCUUCCCCUUACGUUUUGUGGAACCUGCUGCUGUUUGUUGGGAAGUUUUUUUCUGUGUUAUGUUUUAGCAGGGGCAUGCUUCUGUUAUUGUUUUCUUGUUGUAGGUUAGGGCCACCUGUUUUGGCAGCCGUCUCUAUUUGUUAUACGGAGUUUUUUAGGGGCGUUACGCGUAUAGGUGGCACUUUUGUUUUGUUUCCUCAACGUGUAAACUUGGUCUCUAAUAAAUUUUCACUGUUUCGAAAAGAAAAAAAGUUACAGAUACUAUAUAGCCUAUUUGCAGAUGCAAAACUUAGAUUAUAUGUAUG
Molecule: long non-coding RNA, 830 nt
Filed under: Medicago truncatula (barrel medic)
Lineage: Eukaryota; Viridiplantae; Streptophyta; Magnoliopsida; Fabales; Fabaceae
Description: long non-coding RNA (MTRU_LNC003402)
Source: RNAcentral